Molecule: non-coding RNA, 341 nt
Organism: Phascolarctos cinereus (koala)
Lineage: Eukaryota; Metazoa; Chordata; Mammalia; Diprotodontia; Phascolarctidae
Source: RefSeq, a predicted model, not a curated record
CCCAGGACUCUUGUGCUGUCCAUAUGUUGGUGGCAGCUGGUCAGCUGUUGGUGCAAGUGAUGAGAAAGGGAUGGCAACGGAUAGAAGACCUUGUUAAAGGUGCCACUGGACAUAGGAGCUACUAAAGAAACUACCAUCUUGCCUACAGAAGAAGAAUGGGAAUAAGCAGAAGGAAAUGAGAGAGGAGGGAAGGAAUUUCAAUUAAGUUGAAACCUGAGCAAUUCAACUGUGCUAUGUAAAAAACUUAGAUACCACUCUAUUUAUACACUUACACAUAGCAGAAGAAAGAUAAAAAAGAAUAAAGGAAAAGGGAAGCUAAUUAAAAAAAAAAAGAAAGGAAU